This is a long non-coding RNA of Rhinolophus ferrumequinum (greater horseshoe bat), 2093 nucleotides long. RefSeq lists it as uncharacterized. NCBI's taxonomy places the organism in Eukaryota, Metazoa, Chordata, Mammalia, Chiroptera, Rhinolophidae. The transcript is spliced from 3 exons. The record is from RefSeq and is a predicted model, not a curated record.
CCGAGUUUGUGGAGGCCCAAGUGAAGGCCCAUCCCACUGUGGAGAGAGGGGCGGAGGAUGGGAGGCAGAGCCGGUGUCCCAGCACCAGCCCUCCAUCUAGUGGGAAGUUUCGGGAUCGCGGGAUGCAGAGAUGGGGUGGGGGGAGGGAUCCAUUGCCCCGGAAUCUUUCCUCUUCCUGGAUGUCCUGCUGGCCCUACACACCACCAACCUGCUCAGUCUGCUCCACCUCAGGGCUAAGACGUGUGUGCCUCAUUCAGAACUGAAUCCUCCGGACCCAGCGUGGUGCCUGGCACAUAGCCCUGCCUCCCUGUCACGUCUCUGCGGUCCUCACUUGCCCAAGAUCAGCUCCAAGGACCCAGCAACCUACGCAGUGUCCAGUGCUGCUGAAAGAGGAGGCCUUAGUCUUCGAAUGCUGGCACGGAGCACUCAAGACCAAGACCAGGUUACACUGGGGAAACUGUGGUCCAGGGAGGAGAAGGGGCUUGCCCCAAGGCCCUCAAGCAUGAUGCUAAAGCCACCAUCUAGGCCUCCCAAGCCCCAGGCCCAGCAGACUUGCUCGCCACCAUCGGCCUUUAUUACACCCCUCUCCCGGUCCUCCUCCCACCUCCCUGCCGGCUCUUUGCCCACCAGCCACCCUGGCUUCCCUAACACUAGGCUCUGUGCUCCCUACCCUGGACCUUCCUCUGCCCUUUACCAUGCACAUGUGUCCUCCCUGUUCCUGGCUACACCUUGCCUUUUGGAGGCAGCCGGAUGCCUCCCUCUGCCCCGAUGCCCACAGGUGCUGCACACACAGCUGUGCCCAACUGAAUAAAGGCGGACUCCUCGGCCGCAAACCCACUCCUCCACUUCUGCGCCCCUGCAGCUGCCCACGCUACAAUUCCGGAUGUCAACCUUGACCUCUCAAGACGCUGCCACAUUUAUUGCCACCUCCCACACCAGGAGCACAGUGCUGGCCCCUCCUCAGUGGUCCAACCAUGGGCAGCUGUCCACAGACCAAAACCUGCUGUGAGGCUGAGCGCAACCCACCGCUAAUGCCAACGUCGAGUUUUCUGUCUUUGUUACGCCUUCCUGUUUUUGCCAUCUGCAGCAGGAGCAGGCACCAAAUGUUCAAGAAACAUUUUGGGAGAAAAACGAAACUUGAGAAUCUUCUAGCUGCUAACUUAAUUUCCUUAGUGCGGAGGAUGGGGAGCAGCUUUCUGAGGCCGAACAUGAGCAGCCAACAGUGUCUAAGCUGUGACUCCUGCCCCUUUCCUUAUCCACAUCCCACUUAUCCCUCCAACUAGAGUUCUAGAAUGUUCUCAAGUUCUACCGUGGGUCACCACCACCUGCUUGUUCCCAGUGACUCUGUGCAGACAGCAGGUCUGAGGAGGCCAGAGGGAUGGUGGGGCAUCCACAGAAACCACACAGGCAGGGUGAGAGAGGGGCUGACAUUUUCUCAGGAAAGGGGUGGUCAAAAUUAGCACAGGCUUAUGGGCAGGGCUGAGGCUGAUUUCAGGGAUGAUAAGAGCAGCAAUUCCCAAUUAUCUAGCACUUUCUACCCGUUCCACAAGAAACCAAUGUUUUAUGUCACUCAGUCCUCACAACAACUCUAUAAAGAGGCUGCUCUGUUCUCCCCACUUUACAAAUGAGGAAACUGAGGCUCGGAGAUAUUAAGGCUCAGAGAGCCUGAGGCUCAGAGGUUUUGUUCCAGAUCUUACUGAAGCAUCCAGACGUGCAGAACUCAGAGGCCCAGGCUCUCAGCCCGUUAUGUCUGCCCCCGACCAAUACAGCAUCUGGCCUGAGCCACAGGCCCCUUCAAGGAAGACCGAUCUUAACCAGUCACCCCAAAGUAAGGCCUAAAGCAAGUGUGAAUACACCGAGAAGUGCACCCUCAGCGCAUGGAGUCCAAGCCCACUUGAGUUCAGAGAAGCCGGGAUUCCCUUGGCGCUGCCAUGGGCACAAGCAGAGGUUAGACACGCACGGCAUAUCACUCCCAGCAACUUCGUACAAAGGAGCUGCUCUGGGGAGCUGCCUUCCUGGCUGUAGCCUGCGACUCAGACACGGUCUCAGGCCCGUGGGGGCAGGCCUCCCACCCCACCCUACCCCUGUGCCCU